Bison bison bison is the source of this 107-nucleotide small nuclear RNA. NCBI's taxonomy places the organism in Eukaryota, Metazoa, Chordata, Mammalia, Artiodactyla, Bovidae. The record is from Ensembl.
GUGCUUGCUUUGGCAGCACACAUACUAAAACUGGAACGAUACAGAGAAGAUUAGCAUGGCCCCUGAGCAAGGAUGACACACAAAUUCAUGAAGCGUUCCAUAUUUUU